CAAGACCCGAGCCGAAGCCUUGCUAGCCGAGCCACCUUCAGUUUUAGCCGUCUGCAACAUAUUUAAGCCCUUGGUUAAGGUGUGGUUGAGGAAUUGAAUUGUGCAAAUUUCAAUUUAAGGUUGUAUUGAGAUCAACUUUAAAUCUUUGGGGUAAGUUUGAUUGAAUUGGUUGCCUAAUUAAACAGUAAA
Molecule: long non-coding RNA, 189 nt
Organism: Cucumis sativus (cucumber)
Lineage: Eukaryota; Viridiplantae; Streptophyta; Magnoliopsida; Cucurbitales; Cucurbitaceae
Exons: 2
Source: RefSeq, a predicted model, not a curated record